GUACGGGAGGCAGCAGUGGGGAAUAUUGCGCAAUGGGGGAAACCCUGACGCAGCAACGCCGCGUGAGCGAUGAAGGCCUUCGGGUCGUAAAGCUCUGUCUUCGCUGACGAUAAUGACGGUAAGCGAGGAGGAAGCCACGGCUAACUACGUGCCAGCAGCCGCGGUAAUACGUAGGUGGCGAGCGUUGUCCGGAAUUACUGGGCGUAAAGGGUGCGUAGGCGGCUCUUUAAGUGAGGUGUGAAAGCCCUGGGCUUAACCCAGGAACGGCACUUCAAACUGGAGAGCUAGAGUGCAGGAGAGGAAAGUGGAAUUCCCAGUGUAGCGGUGAAAUGCGUAGAGAUUGGGAGGAACACCAGUGGCGAAGGCGACUUUCUGGACUGUAACUGACGCUGAGGCACGAGAGCGUGGGGAGCAAACAGGAUUAGAUACCCCGGUAGG
This 438-nucleotide ribosomal RNA is filed under the name uncultured bacterium. Its description in RNAcentral is "bacterial SSU rRNA". It matches the Rfam family "Bacterial small subunit ribosomal RNA", at positions 339 to 794 of the family's 1533-position model. The record is from RNAcentral.